This 253-nucleotide ribosomal RNA is filed under the name uncultured bacterium. Its description in RNAcentral is "partial 16S ribosomal RNA". It matches the Rfam family "Bacterial small subunit ribosomal RNA", at positions 524 to 776 of the family's 1533-position model. The record is from RNAcentral.
UACGGAGGGUGCGAGCGUUAAUCGGAAUUACUGGGCGUAAAGGGCGCGUAGGCGGAUAUAUGUGUGUGGUGUGAAAUCCCAGGGCUUAACCUUGGAACUGCACUUCAAACUGUAUAUCUAGAGUAUGGUAGAGGGAGGUAGAAUUUCCGGUGUAGCGGUGAAAUGCGUAGAGAUCGGAAGGAACACCAGUGGCGAAGGCGGCUCACUGGCUCGAUACUGACGCUGAGGUGCGAAAGUGUGGGGAGCAAACAGG